Mesoplodon densirostris (Blainville's beaked whale) is the source of this 5572-nucleotide long non-coding RNA. RefSeq lists it as uncharacterized. The transcript has 3 exons. The record is from RefSeq and is a predicted model, not a curated record. NCBI's taxonomy places the organism in Eukaryota, Metazoa, Chordata, Mammalia, Artiodactyla, Ziphiidae.
UCCGGUGCGGAAGUCUGGUCUCCUCGCUUGGAGCGAGCGGUCUGCGCUUGGGAAGGCGAGGCUCGAGGCCGGCCGGCGGAGCUCUCAGGGACGCAGGGAGGCCAGGUUGGCAGCAGCCACUCUCUCUGCGGCUGCACCUGGGAGAUUGAAAGCAGAAGGCUGGCUCAAACCCUCCAAGACAGGGGUGAAUCCAGGCAAAGACUGGCCACAGACCACCCUAGCCUUACCAGGGAGUUUGCUGUCUUCUUAUACCCCUGAGAUCUCUGCUCCUCUCCAGAUUUUCUCAACUCCUUCAGACGCUCCAGCUGCUUCUGAAUUUGUUCCUGGAAAAGAAGAGCACUUGUCAAAGCUUGAACUUGGCUCCUGCCAUCUUGGUGCCAACUCUAGAUGGGAAAACUUGCUUCAGGGAAUAAAGCUGAGGGUGAGGCAGCCAAGAGCACAGGAAGAGGUACCCAGGAAAGAGGAAGAAUGAAUCCAUCACACCAAAGGAAGCAGAGCCAAGAGGAAGUGAGAAAGAUUUCUAAUGACCUCUUGUGAGCACAUGGAUUCAGCCAUACCUAAAGCUAGACUCCCAUAGACCUCUGAGCUACAUGAACCAGUAAAUCCCUCUUUGCUGGCUUACUUUGUAUUGUGUUUGCCAUUUACAGCCCAAAGAUGCUGGCCAAUGCACCAACUCCCAGGGUUUUGGGGGAAAUGAAGCAAGCCCCGAUGUGUUCAAGUGCCCAGCAGAGAAGGACCCCAAUGCAGGAAGCCCUACUUUGUAUUCCAGGGCGGCCUCCUCGAUGGGGCGAACCCGGUGGCCCUGGUGCUCCUGACUCAGCCCGCAGAUGAGGCAGAUAGGUUCCCCGUGGUCCUCGCAGAAGAGCAGCUGGACCUGCUUCAUGUGACGCUCACACUGUGGCAGAGAUUUGGGGCUCAGGCUGGCCAUCUGCAGGCCCUCCUGCCACUCGAGGCUUCCAUGGCUCUUCCCCGGGAGCAAGUCCUGGCACCGAGGGCAGCUGGAUGAGUGGCCGCGUGAAGCCUCAGGAUCCCUAGAAGCAACGGAGCAGCUGCAGGAAACAUGCACGCAGCUGCCACCAACCAGGUCUCCUUCCUGGGCACAGCAAAGAGGACACACAGCCUUGUCCUGCAGUCUCCCUGGGGACAUAGCAGUGGAAAAAUCUCAUGAGUGACAAACCCAAGAUGUUACCAAGGAAUGCUGCAAAUCACAGCUUAGCGAGAGUCCUUGCCUGGGAUAUGUACAUUCUCGGUUAGACUGAGGCCCCUCCCUAGCUUGUCCUCCCCCGACUUCCCUCCAGCGAAGCAGCAAAGGAGCCACUGGGACUGAGGGCUAAGGGCUAGAUCUCAUACCAGUCCUGAGGAUUGGAAUUCUUGGGCAUUUAUCCUAAAGAAAGGCCUUUUGCUACAAAUUCUAUGCCUUCCUCCUGCACGUACACUGAUACAGGUGAUAUAAAGACAGUAAGACAUUCUGACUGGUGUUUGCCACUUAACCACCACCUAGAGUGCUCAUAACUUGAGUAGAGCUCCCAAGGGAUGGUGACUCGCUCAUGGCCAGACCCCCAGCCCCUAGCAGAAUCCCUGGCAUGUGGUGAGCAUUUGGGAAGUGCAUGUUGAAUGAAGGAAUGAAUGGGCCACUGCUCAUAUCCAGAUUCAGGAAGCAUGAAGUGAAAGUAAAGAAGGGGACUUUACAAGGCUGAAGGGUAUAGCCCACCGUGAUGACCUACAGCUAUGACCAGCUCUGCCCCAAGACCAUAGCACAGCUUCAUAAAGCAGAAAUGACAGGAGAUACAGGAGGAAUAGAAAUGCACUCAAUUCAUGAGUCCCCUCCUGCCUCGUCCUCUCGCAGGGUCCCAGGAAUUCAUAUCACAUCUUCAAGUGAGACUGCGAGCUCCCCAGUGACCGUUUUCCCCUCCUUCCGUUGUGAUAGCAUUGAUUGCUGUCCAUAUGGCUGCUCCCCGCCACCACCCAAAAAAACCCUACAUUUCUUAGCCUCCCUUGCAGUUAGAUGUGGUCAUGUGACUCCAGACACACCUCACUUCAUUGCACUUCACUUUAUUGCCCUUCACAGACUCUUCAUUUUUAGCAAAAUGAAGGUUUGUGGCAACUCUGUGUUGCCAGAUGAUGGUGAACAUUUUUUAGCAAUAAAGGUUUUUUUUGCAAUAAAGUAUAUUUAAAUUAAGGUAGGUACAUUUUUCUUUUUAGACAUAAUGCUAUUGCACACUUAAUUUAGAUGAUAGUAUAGUAUAAACAUAUGCACCGGGAAGCCAGAAAAUUCAUGUGACUUGCUUUACUGCAAUAUUUGCUUUAUUGCAGUGGUCUGGAACCAAACCCAUGACGUGCCUGUACAUUCUGGCCAAGAGGAAGUAAAUGGAGGCAUCACUAGCAGCAUCUAGAAAUUUCCGAAAACCUUCCCUAAGUGAUACUAUCCUCUUUUGUCCCUCCAUCCUGCUGCCUGGAAUGAGGAUGCCACCAGCUGAGACCACGAGCUUGAGAGCAAACUCCGUAGAGCAGAAAAGCAGCAGGAGCUUGGGUUCCUGACCAUGGUGUACCACAUUUGUCCUGGACCACCUGUGUGUCAUUUACAUGAAAGAGGAACAAACGUCUAUCUUGUUUCAGUUAUGUUAUUUUGGCAUUUCUGUCAUUCACAACCCAUCACCAUCCUAAUUUCUGCCUCUUUAGUAAAAGAGACCUAGGACUUUAGUCAACAGCUCCCUCCCUGCCCAGAGAGAGGCGAAUAGCAGAAUCGCAGCCCCAUGACAUACUGCCAUGAGGUAUUGUGAGAAGGUGAUAUUUCUACCAAAUCUUUCUCAGAUGUUCAACCUGGGGUCCAUGAAGCCCUUGGGAAUUCUAAAGAAGGACUUCAGAGUGUCUAAGAACUAACUAACUGAAAUGUAUGCAACAUUUUAUGAAAAUGUGCAGAUAUGCAUUUUUCAGGAUUCAGAGCCUACAUCAGAUUCUCAAAGGGUGGAGGACCUCAAGGGGGACCCAGAGAUCCAGUGAAAUGAAUACAGUGGGGAUAAAAGCAAAUUUGCAGGGGGAAACCUGCAAAGGUUAUCAUUCCUAAGGAUGCCAGGUCUUCUAGAUUCUGAGGUCCUUUCUUACCUGAAGAUGGAGGGACUUCUGGAUUUGAAGAAUCAUGGAGCACACCACCUACCACCUCCUCCAAGGUCUUAGAGGUCUUUGGAGCCUCAGUUCCACUCUUCUCUGCAGGUACUGUGGACUCUGGAUGCUCCCAGAUCUUCUUUCCAGCCAAUGAUACACUGGAAAGUGUAUUCCUGAGUGCUCCCCCCUCCAGAGUCAUGGUGUGUUCUGGAUUCCUGGAUCCUUCCUCUGCAGCCACAGUAGCCCCUGUGUUCAGAGUGGCUGCUGAGCCUGGAUUCUCACUUCUCAUUUUCUCUUGAAGCAGAAGAGUUUCUGGGUUGAGAGGUUCUGUCUCUCCUGGAGAAAUGGUAAAUUCAAGACUUUUGGGUCGCUUCUUUCCUGAAGAUUCAGAGGCCUUUCCAGCUGGGAGGACUCAAUGCCUUGUCAGACACGUGGUCGUCAGCACCCCAGCUCUCACUGACUUGGGCUGGACUGCACAGUGGUGGAUGAGUCUUUGAGGAAGGGUCUGGGAUUGGAUUCCAGAUUCUGGAACUUUGGGCAGGCAGUCUGAUGCUUCCCUCUCCCCUCCCAGGAUACGGGGGUGGGAGUGGUGGGAACAGAGCCCCUGGUCCCAUGCUGGAUAGAACCAUGAUGAGGGUCAGCCCCUCUGGCCAACUGCUCUCCUCCAGACUCUUGGGGUUUUAUUGACCCUCUGGAGCCAAUCACGGGGUGGGGAGCAGCAAAUACAGCCCUGCAAGCUCUGCCCCUCCCUGCUCAAGAAGGCAGGUGAGGCCAGAAGGGCACCACCAGGAGACAAGUCCUGGGGUCGCCCCUGUUGACGUAGUUCCAGUUGUCUGGUUCUUCCAGCAACACGAAGGCCUCGAAACGCCACGCCUGGGACCACCAUCCUGAUUUAUUUGUUCCAGCGCUAACUCUGCCGUUCCUUCCUGGGAGCAGACUCCGGAGGGAGGGUGUCAUGCAUGCAUGUGUACUGACCACAUGUUCUGGACCAGGAUGCUGGAGAAACAAGGGUGAAAAAGGCAUAGGCGUUCUUAGGGCUUGCAGCCCAGUGUGGGGCCCCAGCGGUGGCUCCAAAGCUAAUGGAGUUUGUAUGGGGGGAGCUGACUGCUUCCUCCAUUAACGGCUGUGUCUUUCUGCUACAUUGAUUUUUAUCCUCAACUUUUUGGUUCAAAAAAUUUCAGGGCUUCCCUGGUGGCGCAGUGGUUGGGAGUCCGCCUGCCGAUGCAGGGGACGCGGGUUUGUGCCCCGGUCUGGGAGGAUCCCACAUGCCACGGAGCGGCUGGGCCUGUGAGCCAUGGCCGCUGAGCCUGCGCGCCCGGAGCCUGUGCUCCGCAGUGGGAGGGGCCGCAACGGUGAGAGGCCCGCAUACCGCAAAAAAAAAAAAAAAAUCAAAUCCACAGAAAAUUUGAGAGCAUAGUACAAUGAACACUUAUAUACCCUUUACGUAGGUUCAGCAACCGUUUACAUUUCAUGUUUGGUGAUUCUCUUUCACACAUGCACACACUUUUUUGUUUUUUUGAAGCAUUUCGUAAUAAAUUGAAAACAUAUCAGAUAUCACUUCAAAUACCCUAGCUAUCCUAAAUACUAAGAAUGAGGAUACAAGGAUGUUAUUUUAUUAUUUAUUUAAAUUUUAUUUAUUUAUUUAUUUUUGGCUGCCCCCACACAGCUUGUCAGAUCUUAACUUCCUGACCAGGAAUUGAACCCGGGCCCUCUGCAGUGAAAGCACCGAGUCCUAACCACUGGACCGCCAGGGAAUUCCCAAGGAUAUUAUUUUAAAUAAUCACAGUAGUAUUAUCACACUCAGGAAAUUUAAUGUUGCUACAAUACUACAAGCUUUCCAUAAUCAAAUUCCCCAAUUGUUCUGAUAAUGUCUUUGAUAGCUUUUAUUUGGUCCCAAUCCAGGAUCCAAUCAGAGAUCCUGCAUUGCCUUUAGUUGCCAUAUCUCUGUAGUCUCCUUUUAUCUAGAACACUUUUACAUUCCCCUCAUCUUUAAAAAUUCUUUCAAGACAUUAAUGUUUUUGAGGGCUUCCCUGGUGGCGUAGUGGUUAAGAAUCCUCCUGCCAAUGCAGGGGACACGGGUUUGAGCCCUGGCCCGGGAAAAUUCCACAUGCCGCGGAGCAACUAAGCCCGUGAGCCCCAACUACUGAGCCUGCGCUCUAGAGCCUGAGAGCCACAACUACUGAAGCCCGGGCGCCUAGAGCCCCGUACUCUGCAGCAAGGGAAGCCCGCGCACCUCGACGAACAGUAGCCCCCUGCUCGCUGCAACUAGAGAAAGCGCGCGUGCGGCAACGAAGACCCAACGCAGCCAAAAAUAAAUAAAUAAAUAAAUAAAUAAAAUAUAAAAAAUAAAAAAUAAAGUGGGGACAGUGGGUGAGGUCUCAGACCUGGAGGCUUGCUUCGUCAAGCCCUCUUAUUAAAAAAAAAAAAAAAGACAUUAAUGUUUUUGAAAAGUCCGUUCCAAGCACCGUGU